RNAcentral lists this unclassified non-coding RNA (65 nucleotides) under synthetic construct. The record is from RNAcentral.
GAUCCAGGUGAUGGCUGUUCCUUUUUCAAGAGAAAAGGAACAGCCAUCACCUUUUUUUACGCGUG